Molecule: ribosomal RNA, 438 nt
Filed under: uncultured bacterium
Lineage: Bacteria
Description: bacterial SSU rRNA
Rfam family: Bacterial small subunit ribosomal RNA
Source: RNAcentral
CCUACGGGGGGCAGCAGUGGGGAAUAUUGCACAAUGGGGGGAACCCUGAUGCAGCAAUGCCGCGUGAAGGAUGAAGGUUUUCGGAUUGUAAACUUCUUUUGUACGGGACGAAGAAAGUGACGGUACCGUAAGAAUAAGCCACGGCUAACUACGUGCCAGCAGCCGCGGUAAUACGUAGGUGGCAAGCGUUAUCCGGAUUUACUGGGUGUAAAGGGCGAGUAGGCGGGAUUGCAAGUCAGAUGUGAAAACUAUGGGCUCAACCGAUAGAGUGCAUUUGAAACUGCAGUUCUUGAGUGAUGGAGAGGCAGGCGGAAUUCCCGGUGUAGCGGUGGAAUGCGUAGAUAUCGGGAGGAACACCAGUGGCGAAGGCGGCCUGCUGGACAUUAACUGACGCUGAGGCGCGAAAGCGUGGGGAGCAAACAGGAUUAGAUACCCCUG